CGAGAGCAAACUGGCCCGCAGAGGCAGGGGAGGGCGGGGUCCCCACUCCGCAGAGGGGCCUGCCUUCCUCUGUGCACCUGCCUGUCCCCCUGCAAGGUGAGGAACUGCCCAGCAGAAGCACAGCCCAGAUGACGAGGCUGGAUGGAGGCUGCAGUCACGGAUGCUGGAGGUGAGCGAGCCAUCACAGGGGCUGGAAGCCCGAGUCUGUGGCACCCAUUUUCCAGGUGGACAGAUCCAAGGAAAAUGCCAGUGCCCAGGCCCCAGGGCGAGGACAAGCUUCAGAGGGCACCCUGCACCGGCCCUAGGCCGCUCCCAGAGGAACAGCAGGUCAGUCGGUGCUGGGUAACUCACUCCUUUACGUGGACAGUUUUCUUCAAGGGACAACAGGUGUACGUGUGUGCAUGUGCAUGCACGUGCCUGUGUGUGUGCAUGGGGAACAGGGGCCCAGGGGUCUCCCCACGGUGCGGUUCAAAGCCUCUGGCUGGAGGAAGCCCAGAGAAGGACUCUGAGAACCUGUCAGUGCUUCUCUUGUACCUCCAGGGCCCUGGGGCUCUGCUGGACAGGCCGGCGGGCAGUGACGGCCGAGAAAGGCAGCAGUGGGUGGGGGGGAUGUCCACUGCUCCCAGUCUCCCCUGAAAGGGGUCGAGAGGGAGGAAAGCAGCAGGCCGGAACAGCUGGAUCACAUAAGAGCAGCUUCCAAGUGAUAAAAAGCUUUCAGAUGAACAAGACCCAGUAAAAGGGAAAACGGACUCAGGAGGACAGGUCACCAAAGCCACACAGAAGAGUUGGCUGCACAGAGCAGGUCCGUGGCUUAGCGGGUGCUCUGGGAGGGGCCUGGCAGUGCCCCGGGGCUCUGGGUGGAGGAGAUGGGAUGUCCAGGGCUGGAGGCAGAAAGAUCCCACUAUUCUUUUCCAUUUCUUUGCCCUUACCCCUUGCCGAAGCCACAUCAGCCUCCUUCCUGCUCCUCUGGUACCCCGCCAGCUCCUGGCAGGGCCUUUGCACAUAUAGGGGCCAGAACAUUCCUCCAGGGCUUCACUAGCACUCCCUCUUCAGCAUCACCUUCCCUGACCACCUGAUCCGGAGGCCAGACGUGGUCCGUCCCUGCUGCAUACUCUGCACUGCCUAUCCGGGUCCCAUUAGACAUCUGGCUCCAUGGGCAGGGACCCGGGCCCACAGCACAUCCCCGUCCAGGUCUGGCAGGCACGGUGGUUCCCUGCACAGCAUCCUUCCACCUCAAGGCCACUGAAGACUCACAAAGCCCGAAAUAGACUGGAGGGGAAAGAGCCAUUUACAGACAACUUCCAUCAGAUUCCAUGUUUCCAAAACAUUCUAUUACCUGACACAGAACUGGCCCUGAGCUAACAUUCAAGCCCAUCUUCCUCUGCUUUAUAUGUGGGAUGCCUGCCACAGCAUGGCUUGACCAACAGUGCAUAAGUCCGCACCCGGGAACAGAACCGGUGAAUCCUAGGCCACCGAAGCAGAGCGCAUGAACUUAAUCGCUGUGCCACCAGGCCGGCUCCUCCAUUUCCUAACUUUUAUUUAUUGGUUAUGGAAGGCUAGAAUGGUUAAAGAG
Long non-coding RNA from Equus quagga, 1573 nucleotides. RefSeq lists it as uncharacterized. Lineage: Eukaryota; Metazoa; Chordata; Mammalia; Perissodactyla; Equidae. The record is from RefSeq and is a predicted model, not a curated record. The transcript has 3 exons.